UGACUGUGCAAACCGGGCAUGAUGGCGCAC
RNAcentral lists this non-coding RNA (30 nucleotides) under Mus musculus (house mouse). The record is from RNAcentral. Lineage: Eukaryota; Metazoa; Chordata; Mammalia; Rodentia; Muridae.